RNAcentral lists this long non-coding RNA (520 nucleotides) under Trifolium pratense (red clover). Its description in RNAcentral is "long non-coding RNA (TPRA_LNC011253)". The record is from RNAcentral. Lineage: Eukaryota; Viridiplantae; Streptophyta; Magnoliopsida; Fabales; Fabaceae.
ACAAUUGAUGAAGGGAUACUACAAGGUAAUCUUCUUAGUUAAAAUGUAAAGUUCUUGUGUAUUGUCUUGACAUGUUUGUGUGUAUGUAAGAGAGAAAGAGGGUGCAUGUAUAUGAAAAAUUCAUAACAAAUUUGUUGGACACGUUACAGAUAUGAAAGCAUGCGUAUAUCUAUCAUAUUUCAGACUUCUAAAUCAGAACCUUCAUACCAAAGUUAUAACUUUAUUCAUUUAUAAAUAUUUGAUUGUCUGCUAAACUUAAAAACUGAGGCAAAGGGCUUAUAAAAGGCUCAUUAUGAAGAAUUCUGUCUGUUAUGUAAUACCUUUUCCCUGAUAAACAAGCAACUUGUGUGAUGGUCCAUAGACAUAGUAGUCAAUAAUGUUGCUUACUUAGAGCUCACAUCACACUUAUCCAUGGAGUCUUAUUGACACAUGCUGGAUCAAGUUGUGUCAGUUACAUGUCUUUACUCUUGUAUCAGAAUCCUUCAGCUACAAAUCAGGUCAUAGAUAGCGAUGGCUGGCU